AGCGUUAUUCCCGAUUUAUUGGGUUUAAGGUUCGUAAGCCGGGCCGAUAAGUCAGUGGCGGAAUUCCGCAGCUUACUGUGGAAACUGCCAUUGAUACUGUCGGUCUUGAGUAAAUUUGAAGUGGCUGGAAUAAGUAGUGUAGCGGUGAAAUGCAUAGAUAUUACUUAGAACACCAAUUGCGAAGGCAGGUCACUAAGAUUUAACUGACGCUGAGGGACGAAAGCGUGGGGAGCGAACAGGAUUAGAUACCCUGGUAGUCCACGCCGUAAACGAUGCUAACUCGUUUUUGGAUUUUCGGAUUCAGAGACCAAGCGAAAGUGAUAAGUUAGCCACCUGGGGAGUACGAUCGCAAGAUUGAAACUCAAAGGAAUUGACGGGGGCCCGCACAAGCGGUGGAUUAUGUGGUUUAAUUCGAUGAUACGCGAGGAACCUUACCAAGACUUAAAUGGGAAUUGACAGAUUUAGAAAUAGAUCCUCCUUCGGGCAAUUUUCAAGGUGCUGCAUGGUUGUCGUCAGCUCGUGCCGUGAGGUGUUAGGUUAAGUCCUGCAACGAGCGCAACCCCUGUCACUAGUUGCUAACAUUAAGUUGAGGACUCUAGUGAGACUGCCUACGCAAGUAGAGAGGAAGGUGGGGAUGACGUCAAAUCAUCACGGCCCUUACGUCUUGGGCCACACACGUAAUACAAUGGCCGGUACAGAGGGCAGCUACACAGCGAUGUGAUGCAAAUCUCGAAAGCCGGUCUCAGUUCGGAUUGGAGUCUGCAACUCGACUCUAUGAAGCUGGAAUCGCUAGUAAUCGCGCAUCAGCCAUGGCGCGGUGAAUACGUUCCCGGGCCGUGCCCUUCCCGCCCGUC
This 854-nucleotide ribosomal RNA is filed under the name uncultured bacterium. RNAcentral describes it as "bacterial SSU rRNA". It matches the Rfam family "Bacterial small subunit ribosomal RNA", at positions 537 to 1398 of the family's 1533-position model. The record is from RNAcentral.